Long non-coding RNA from Tachysurus fulvidraco (yellow catfish), 801 nucleotides. RefSeq lists it as uncharacterized. The record is from RefSeq and is a predicted model, not a curated record. The transcript is spliced from 3 exons. Lineage: Eukaryota; Metazoa; Chordata; Actinopteri; Siluriformes; Bagridae.
AGGUACUCUAUGUGAAGAGUAUUUCAUGAAACGCCUCAGUAUUCUCUUCCAGACAUCAAAGAAAGUUUUGUACAAAGAGCGAUUUCUUCACGACGGUGAAUCUUCAUGCUUCAUGGAUGAACGAGCCUUCCAUCCCACCCAAACGAGGGAAGCAGCCCCUGUAGUUCAGCGCGAAAACACGGAUCUCUAACAGCCUCUCCAUAAUGUGACAUUGCUCCACUCUGAUUAAAACAGAAGAAGCUGCGAUGCUGGCUGUACACCAACAUGUGGAGGUGAUGUGAACUGAAAAGGUGAGAGGCCUUGUGCAAAAUGUCACCAGCACCUGCGUGCAGUUAAAGAAAAAAAAGAAAAAGAAAAAGCAGGGUUCAAUAUUAAUCACGAACAAACAGGGUGUCAUUCAAAUGGUGUUCAUUUCCUCUCUCUCUCUCUCUCUCUCUCUCUCUCUCUCUCUCUCUCUCUCUCUCUCUCUCUCUCUCUCUCUCUCUCUCUCUCUCUCUCUCCACGUGGCCAGUGUUGUUUUAACUAUAAUUAGAUAUUAGUGCAUUUUAGACGGUCCUCUCCAGUGGCACACAUUUCUUAUGAUCUAUAUAUAAAAAAACAUUGGUAACACUGCUGCCUAUACAUGACCAAAGCAAUAACAAUCCCUUUAUAAAUAUGUCGGUAAAAAAUGUUUCAAGUUGUAUAUUUCUCCAGAUAGAAAGAACAAAAGCAUGUUUAGUUUAAUCUAUUUGUUACCAGCAGCAUGGGAUAAUGAAAAUAAUGCUGCAAUGUUUUUAUCCAUCUCGAGGAAGCGGUCUUAUA